Molecule: ribosomal RNA, 393 nt
Filed under: Planctomycetota bacterium
Lineage: Bacteria; Pseudomonadati; Planctomycetota
Description: bacterial SSU rRNA
Rfam family: Bacterial small subunit ribosomal RNA
Source: RNAcentral
AAGUGAAGGGUUUGAUCCUGGCUCAGAAUGAACGUUGGCGGCGUGGAUUAGGCAUGCAAGUCGUGCGGAAAGGCCCCUUCGGGGGUACUCGAGCGGCGAAAGGGAGAGUAAUGCGUGGAUUACCUGCCCCCAGGACCGGGAUAGCCGCGGGAAACUGCGGGUAAUACCGGAUAAUGUCUCCGGACCAAAGGUGCAAGUCCGCCUGGGGAGGGGUUCACGUGCUACUAGCUUGUUGGUGAGGUAAUGGCUCACCAAGGCUGUGAUGGCUAUGGGGUGUGAGAGCAUGGCCCCACUCACUGGGACUGAGACACUGCCCAGACACCUACGGGUGGCUGCAGUCGAGAAUCUUCGGCAAUGGGCGCAAGCCUGACCGAGCGACGCCGCGUGCGGGAU